GUGCUCAUUUCGGCAGUACAUAUACUGACUGGAUCCAUACAGAAAAGAUUAGCAUGGCCCAAAAUGCAAAUUCAUGAACCAUUCCAUAUUUAU
This 93-nucleotide small nuclear RNA is filed under the name Sorex araneus (European shrew). The record is from RNAcentral. Lineage: Eukaryota; Metazoa; Chordata; Mammalia; Eulipotyphla; Soricidae.